Molecule: ribosomal RNA, 423 nt
Filed under: uncultured bacterium
Lineage: Bacteria
Description: bacterial SSU rRNA
Rfam family: Bacterial small subunit ribosomal RNA
Source: RNAcentral
AGCAGCCGCGGUAAUACGGAGGGGUCGACAAACGUUGCUCGGAAUUAUUGGGGCGUAAAGCGCACGUAGGCGGUCCGCUAAGUCGGAUGUGAAAGCCCUCGGCUUAACCGAGGAAGUGCAUCCGAAACUGACGGGCUAAGAGUACGGAAAGAGGGUUUCGGAAUUCCCGGUGUAGAGGUGAAAUUCGUAGAUAUCGGGAGGAACAACCAGUGGCGAAGGCGGAAAACCUGGGCCGAUACUGACGCUGAGGUGCGAAAAGCGUGGGGAGCAAACAGGAUUAGAUACCCUGGUAGUCCACGCCGUAAACGAUGAGCGCUAGGUGUUGGGGGUAUUGACCCCCCCAGUACCGCAGCUAACGCGUUAAGCGCUUCCGCCUGGGGAGUACGGACCGCAAGGCUAAAACUCAAAGGAAUUGACGGGGGA